UCAGACGAUGCGUCAUGCAUAUCAAUAGCGGAGGAAAAGAAACUAACAAGGAUUCCCUUAGUAACGGCGAGUGAAGCGGGAAGAGCUCAAAUUUGAAAUCUUCAAGGUUUUACCUUGACGAAUUGUAGUUUAAAGAAGUGUUUUCUGUUGAAGUUUUGGUAAAAGUUCUUUGGAAUAGGACAUCAUAGAGGGUGAGAAUCCCGUAUUUGACCAUUAUCUCCAGCUGUGUGAUACACUUUCAAAGAGUCGGAUUGUUUGGGAAUGCAGUCCAAAAUGGGUGGUAAAUUUCAUCUAAAGCUAAAUAUUGGCGAGUGACCGAUAGCGAACAAGUACCGUGAGGGAAAGAUGAAAAGAACUUUGAAAAGAGAGUUAAACAGUACGUGAAAUUGUCAAAAGGGAAGCGUUUGACACCAGUGUUGUUUUUCCGAAAAUCAAUUAAAAAUGGAUUCAUGCCAAGUUGUAUUGACCUUAUCAGCUUGCAAUUUGGUUUUGGGUUCUUUUUUGAUGCACUUUUCGGUUAACAAGUCAACAUCAAUUUCCUUUGCUGUAAAAGGGCAGAAGGAAGGUGGCUUCAAUUUCGGUUGAAGUGUUUAUAGCCUUUUGUCUCUGCAGUCGGGGAGAUUGAGGUCUGCAGCGUAGAUCCUUCGGGGUUAGAUACAUUCGUGCUAAGUUAUAGCCUUUUAUAGACAACUUGUUGACUAUGAUCAGUCAUGUAGCUUACUCGCUUAUGCUAUUUUACCUACGCUUAGGAUGUUGAUAUGCAUGACUGAUAU
RNAcentral lists this ribosomal RNA (773 nucleotides) under uncultured Neocallimastigales. RNAcentral's name for it is "partial large subunit ribosomal RNA". It matches the Rfam family "Eukaryotic large subunit ribosomal RNA", at positions 18 to 643 of the family's 3401-position model. The record is from RNAcentral. Lineage: Eukaryota; Fungi; Neocallimastigomycota; Neocallimastigomycetes; Neocallimastigales.